Non-coding RNA from Triticum aestivum (bread wheat), 111 nucleotides. The record is from Rfam. Lineage: Eukaryota; Viridiplantae; Streptophyta; Magnoliopsida; Poales; Poaceae.
GUUAAGGGGGUUGUUGUCUGGUUCAAGGUCUCCACAUACAUCAUAUACAUGGAGAGCAUGAUAUGGAUUGUACGGUUUGGUGAUCUCGGACCAGGCUUCAAUCCCUUUAAC